GGCUGUUUGUAAAGGUCCAGUUUUGUUUAUUGAUCCAAGCCUGAACAGCUACGCAUAGUGUCCAGUAGAGGGCUCUGUCGCUUAGUUAGCGGCAAGCUGCACUUCCAGCUCAGACCGGUUUUUGUGGCGCACAUGUGCCAGUAGGCAGCUCUCAAUGAAGCAUGAAGCAGCGUGAUACCGGACUCUAGCGAAAUUAACAAUUUGCAGCCCUUGGAAUGCGGAGCGAGUUUUGCUCAAGGCUUGUUCAUUUUUAAGGGCUUUGCACCAGCAGUGGUAGUGAACAAGGUGGUAGUGAACUCUGGGAGUUUCACACUUUCUACAUCAUUAAAUCUGUGGACAAAGAGUAAUGGUUUUCAGAGUCUUGAUGGAAGAAAAGUGUUGAACCUUGCUGCCUGUUUCUCUCCUGCGCAGUGUGAAGAGGGAAAGACAGUACACCCUCAUGUUCAUCAGUUCUCUGCUCACUUGUCUUUUAUCUUUCCAGUGUCAUGCUUUCUUUUCCUGUCACCUUUAUAUCCUUGCAUUAUU
This is a long non-coding RNA of Oreochromis niloticus (Nile tilapia), 525 nucleotides long. RefSeq lists it as uncharacterized. The record is from RefSeq and is a predicted model, not a curated record. The transcript has 3 exons. Lineage: Eukaryota; Metazoa; Chordata; Actinopteri; Cichliformes; Cichlidae.